ACUCAAAUGAAUUGACGGGGGCCCGCACAAGCAGUGGAGCAUGUGGUUUAAUUCGACGCGACCCGAAGAACCUUACCAGGUCUUGACAUACCUCGCAUAUCCCAGAGAUGGGAGAAGCCCUUCGGGGCGGGGAUACAGGUGGUGCAUGGUUGUCGUCAGCUCGUGUCGUGAGAUGUUGGGUUAAGUCCCGCAACGAGCGCAACCCUUGAUGUCGGUUGCCAGCAGGUAAAGCUGGGCACUCCGGCGUGACUGCCGUAGAGAAUACGGAGGAAGGCGGGGAUGACGUCAAAUCAUCAUGCCCUAUAUGACCUGGGCUACACACGUGCUACAAUGGGGCGAACAACGGGAAGCGAGCGAGCGAUCGUAAGCGGAGCCCUAAAAACGCCUCUCAGUUCGGAUUGCAGGCUGCAACUCGCCUGCAUGAAGUCGGAAUUGCUAGUAAUCGCGGAUCAGCAAGCCGCGGUGAAUACGUUCCCGGGCCUUGUACACACCGCCCGU
Molecule: ribosomal RNA, 498 nt
Filed under: uncultured bacterium
Lineage: Bacteria
Description: bacterial SSU rRNA
Rfam family: Bacterial small subunit ribosomal RNA
Source: RNAcentral